UUGACCUCAAAUCAGGUAGGACUACCCGCUGAACUUAAGCAUAUCAAUAAGCGGAGGAAAAGAAACUAACAAGGAUUCCCCUAGUAACUGCGAGUGAAGCGGGAUGAGCUCAAAUUUCGAAUCUGGCGGUCUUUGGCCGUCCGAGUUGUAAUCUAGAGAAGCGUCGUCCGCGCUGGACCGUGUAUAAGUCUCCUGGAAGGGAGCGUCGUAGAGGGUGAGAAUCCCGUCUUUGACACGGACUCCCAGUGCUAUGUGAUGCGCUCUCGACGAGUCGAGUUGUUUGGGAAUGCAGCUCAAAACGGGUGGUAAAUUCCAUCUAAAGCUAAAUACAGGCGAGAGACCGAUAGCGAACAAGUACCGUGAGGGAAAG
This 370-nucleotide ribosomal RNA is filed under the name uncultured Boletus. RNAcentral's name for it is "eukaryotic LSU rRNA". It matches the Rfam family "Eukaryotic large subunit ribosomal RNA", at positions 1 to 363 of the family's 3401-position model. Lineage: Eukaryota; Fungi; Basidiomycota; Agaricomycetes; Boletales; Boletaceae. The record is from RNAcentral.